RNAcentral lists this unclassified non-coding RNA (343 nucleotides) under soil metagenome. Its description in RNAcentral is "partial contains 5.8S ribosomal RNA, internal transcribed spacer 2, and large subunit ribosomal RNA". The stretch from base 1 to 120 matches the Rfam family "5.8S ribosomal RNA", at positions 35 to 154 of the family's 154-position model. The record is from RNAcentral.
GAUGAAGAACGUAGCGAAAUGCGAUAAGUAAUGUGAAUUGCAGAAUUCAGUGAAUCAUCGAAUCUUUGAACGCACAUUGCGCCCGCCAGCAUUCUGGCGGGCAUGCCUGUUCGAGCGUCAUUUCAACCCUCGAGCCCCCCCGGGGGCCUCGGUGUUGGGGGACGGCACACCAGCCGCCCCCGAAAUGCAGUGGCGACCCCGCCGCAGCCUCCCCUGCGUAGUAGCACACACCUCGCACCGGAGCGCGGAGGCGGUCACGCCGUAAAACGCCCAACUUUCUUAGAGUUGACCUCGGAUCAGGUAGGAAUACCCGCUGAUCUUAAGCAUAUCAAUAAGCGGAGGA